CUGGAAACCGAGAGUUCAGAGACCAGGAACCAAGCGAGACUAGCCAUUCUCGAGCUAGCCAACAUGAUAAGCGUUCCCAUGUCUCUCCAUGCCGUCGUCCGCCUCAACGUCGCCGACGCUAUCUGGCAAGGCGGAACUAACUUGCCGCUUUCUGCCUCAGAAAUACUCGCAGCAGUCCAUCCCUCUGGCGGCGAUCCCGAGAAUCUUCAACGCAUCUUGCGUAUGCUUACCAGCUAUGGCGUGUUUGCGGAGCAUCUUAGUGCCGAUGCUACUGAGAGGAGGUACUCUCUGACGGAGAUCGGAAAAACGCUUGUCACCGACGGUGAGG
Molecule: unclassified non-coding RNA, 328 nt
Filed under: Hevea brasiliensis (rubber tree)
Lineage: Eukaryota; Viridiplantae; Streptophyta; Magnoliopsida; Malpighiales; Euphorbiaceae
Source: RNAcentral